GCUGACGAGUCCCAAAUAGGACGAAACGCGCAUCC
This is a non-coding RNA of Schistosoma mansoni, 35 nucleotides long. The record is from Rfam. Lineage: Eukaryota; Metazoa; Platyhelminthes; Trematoda; Strigeidida; Schistosomatidae.